UUCCCUGUGGUCCGGCGGUUAGGACUCUGCAUUCUCACUGCCGAGGGCUCAGGUUCAAUCCCUAGCUGGGGAA
Molecule: transfer RNA, 73 nt
Filed under: Bos taurus (domestic cattle)
Lineage: Eukaryota; Metazoa; Chordata; Mammalia; Artiodactyla; Bovidae
Also listed under: 5 other names
Rfam family: tRNA
About the family: Transfer RNA (tRNA) molecules are approximately 80 nucleotides in length. Their secondary structure includes four short double-helical elements and three loops (D, anti-codon, and T loops). Further hydrogen bonds mediate the characteristic L-shaped molecular structure. tRNAs have two regions of fundamental functional importance: the anti-codon, which is responsible for specific mRNA codon recognition, and the 3' end, to which the tRNAs corresponding amino acid is attached (by aminoacyl-tRNA synthetases). tRNAs cope with the degeneracy of the genetic code in two manners: having more than one tRNA (with a specific anti-codon) for a particular amino acid; and 'wobble' base-pairing, i.e. permitting non-standard base-pairing at the 3rd anti-codon position.
Source: Rfam by way of RNAcentral